UACAGAGGGGGCAAGCGUUAUUCGGAAUUAUUGGGCGCAAAGGGCGCGUAGGCGGCCAUUCAAGUGACGGGUGAAAGCCCUCGGCUUAACCGAGGAACUGCCUGUCAGACUGGAUGGCUUGAGACCGGGAGAGGUGAGUGGAAUUCCCAGUGUAGCGGUGAAAUGCGUAGAUAUUGGGAGGAACACCAGUGGCGAAGGCGGCUCACUGGACCGGAACUGACGCUGAGGCGCGAAAGCGUGGGGAGCAAACAGG
This 253-nucleotide ribosomal RNA is filed under the name uncultured bacterium. Its description in RNAcentral is "partial 16S ribosomal RNA". It matches the Rfam family "Bacterial small subunit ribosomal RNA", at positions 524 to 776 of the family's 1533-position model. The record is from RNAcentral.